This 552-nucleotide long non-coding RNA is filed under the name Mytilus galloprovincialis (Mediterranean mussel). Lineage: Eukaryota; Metazoa; Mollusca; Bivalvia; Mytilida; Mytilidae. The record is from RNAcentral.
UGAAUAUAUAUAGUAGUUCUUUCGUGUAUUUUCUGUAAAUAAGUUAUAUUUUUGUUAAUAAAAUUUUGACUUUAUAUAAAAGUUAACCAAAUCCUUCGGAUAAGAGGUUUUUCCGGAUAAUGACUAUAGUUGACAUUGUGUGAAAAUACAUUGUAUGUCAAUGUUUAACCUCAGAGCAAUUAAUAUGCAUGCAAGUGGUCGGGGGAAAAGUACUAUUGAAGAUUCGCAGAGAUUUGGUGUGUGACAAGGUGAUGCUAAAACCAACUUCUCUUAAUAUUCUGCUUUCCGUGGGCGAAUCAUCAGUGAUGUUAUGAGACUUGCACCAGAAGGCAAAAUUGGUGCGUCUUUAAAUUAGAUUGAUUGAUUGAUUGUUGGUUGCUUAACGUCCAGUGACAAAUAUUUCAUGCAUGUUCAGGACGAGAACAAGUUAACAAUAAAAACAAUAGGUAGGUUUUGUCAUAAUAGAGGCCAUUCGGGAUGAUGAUCGGGAAAAUUUAGACUGCCACUGGAAAAUGAUGGUAUAUUGGAUUGGGACAGAAAUUUUCCAUUGCA